AAGAGAUUGAUGAAAUCAUGAAUAUCGACUGGGGAAUUAAACAGAAAUUUUUGGAUGUUUGUUGGUCCUUUACGAACUUCAAUGCCCAAUCCGUGACAUGCUUUACUGUAUCCGUGAACUUCAGUUGCACAGAUUCUUAUGAAUCUGCGUACUCUUUGUUUCUUUGCAAUAUAGUGGAGUAACCUACGUAGUGUACUUUGCUACUACUUUUAAUCUAUAG
This 220-nucleotide long non-coding RNA is filed under the name Panax ginseng (ginseng). RNAcentral's name for it is "long non-coding RNA (PGIN_LNC002554)". The record is from RNAcentral. Lineage: Eukaryota; Viridiplantae; Streptophyta; Magnoliopsida; Apiales; Araliaceae.